CCUUCUUAGGAAAAUGACUGUGUCUGGAGUGGAGGACAGAGCCCUGAGCAAAGGUUGUGGGUUCCACAAGGGCUCUCAGGAGGGAUGAGGAGCAUGGAACAUUCUAGAAACUGAGAGAGCCCACCAUAGUUUUAGGGUAGAGACUGCGUGGGAACUGGUGCCCAGUGAGACCACUGAUGCUGGUGUGCUCGGGAUCCCGGUGAUAGAGAUGUGGAUGAAACAUUCCGUGCAUGUUCAACAGAAGUGCCUGUUUUCCAAGCUGAUAGAGUAUAUUUGCAUAGAAGAGGCAUUAAAAAGAGUUCCAAAUGCAGAUUCAGAAUAAAAGUUGGGGGAGAAGUACAGAGAAGUCCUAAGCGAGUCUGAAGGUUUGUUCAGAUGUGGAAAGGACCACUGCAGGAUAUCAAGAUGAGUCUUUGUCUGGGGAUUCUGGCAGGCUAAACUAUGUCAGAAAUUGGAAGGAAGCCAAUUUCCUGUCAGAACCAGGAAAACCAGUUCAUCCCAGGAGCCCAGCCUGUAACAGAGGUAUCUGUACCCACUCUGGUGGUCUGUGUCUGUUUGUCUCAGUUCAAGGAACUGGGUAAACUGCAUUGCUGCACUUUACCCUAAAUAGGGCCAGGGUCAGCCGUGAGUCACUGCUGAGUGAAUCUUCAUUAUAAUCCUAAGUUAUAACCACACUGGUGAUGAUAAAGACUUCCUUUGUGCACUUAAAAACAUCAGUUUGCCUUUAGUGAUAAAAAUGAUUGAUGGUUAUAACCCCCAAAGAGAAACUUUUGGAAAUCGUGCUGGUUAUUUUCAAAAGGUAACAACUGGAUUUUUUAAAAAGUGCCAGAAAAUUUGUUGGUGGAAGAAUUUUCUUGACUUUCUUUUGUUAAUCAAAAUGAUUCAUGAAGAGUUAUGGGAAAGUAAGGAUACUAAGACAAUAAAUUGAAAGUGAAAUGAAAAAUUUGUUCAGCUGAGAGAGUGACUUGUUAAAAUCUAUAGG
Molecule: long non-coding RNA, 982 nt
Organism: Capra hircus (goat)
Lineage: Eukaryota; Metazoa; Chordata; Mammalia; Artiodactyla; Bovidae
Exons: 3
Source: RefSeq, a predicted model, not a curated record